UUGGAGGGCAAGUCUGGUGCCAGCAGCCGCGGUAAUUCCAGCUCCAAUAGCGUAUAUUAAAGUUGUUGCAGUUAAAAAGCUCGUAGUUGAACCUUAGGCCCGUGCGGGUGGUCCGUCCUCUGGGCGAGCACUGCGUCGUUGCGGGUCUCACCUUCUGGCGAGCGUGGAUGCCAUUCACUUGGUGUCCGCGGGAACCAGGACCUUUACCUUGAAAAAUUAGAGUGCUCAAAGCGGGCUCGUACGCUUGAAUACAUUAGCAUGGAAUAAUGAAAUAGGACGACGGUUCUAUUUUGUGGUUUCCGGGACAGUCGUAAUGAUUAAUAGGGAUAGUUGGGGGCAUUCGUAUUCAAUUGUCAGAGGUGAAAUUCUUGGAUUUAUUGAAGACGAACUACUGCGAAAGCAUUUGCCAAGGAUGUUUUCAUUAAUCAAGACGAAAGUUAGGGGAUCGAAGACGAUCAGAUACCGUCGUAGUCUUAACCAUAAACUAUAGCCGACUAGGGAUCGGAUGAUGUUAUUUUAA
This 520-nucleotide ribosomal RNA is filed under the name uncultured Paraglomus. RNAcentral's name for it is "bacterial SSU rRNA". It matches the Rfam family "Eukaryotic small subunit ribosomal RNA", at positions 548 to 1071 of the family's 1831-position model. Lineage: Eukaryota; Fungi; Glomeromycota; Glomeromycetes; Paraglomerales; Paraglomeraceae. The record is from RNAcentral.